CUCUUAUCAAGAGGGGUGGAGGGACCGGCCCUGUGAAGCCCCGGCAACCAGCCUGCUCAGGCAGGCCAGGUGCCAAUGCCGGCAGAAGCGCUUGCUUCUGGACGAUGAGAG
This 111-nucleotide non-coding RNA is filed under the name Ardenticatena maritima. RNAcentral's name for it is "SAM-I sequence". It matches the Rfam family "SAM riboswitch aptamer (S box leader)". From Rfam's summary of the family: The SAM riboswitch is found upstream of a number of genes which code for proteins involved in methionine or cysteine biosynthesis in Gram-positive bacteria. The SAM riboswitch acts at the level of transcription termination control. Lineage: Bacteria; Bacillati; Chloroflexota; Ardenticatenia; Ardenticatenales; Ardenticatenaceae. The record is from Rfam by way of RNAcentral.